AUUGAACGCUGGCGGAAUGCUUUACACAUGCAAGUCGAACGGUAGAGGGGGCAACCCCUCGAGAGUGGCGAACGGGUGAGUAAUAUAUCGGAACGUGCCCAGUCGUGGGGGAUAACGUAGCGAAAGUUACGCUAAUACCGCAUACGAUCUACGGAUGAAAGCGGGGGACUCGCAAGAGCCUCGCGCGAUUGGAGCGGCCGAUGUCAGAUUAGGUAGUUGGUGAGGUAAAGGCUCACCAAGCCAACGAUCUGUAGCUGGUCUGAGAGGACGACCAGCCACACUGGAACUGAGACACGGUCCAGACUCCUACGGGAGGCAGCAGUGGGGAAUUUUGGACAAUGGACGCAAGUCUGAUCCAGCCAUUCCGCGUGCAGGAUGAAGGCCCUCGGGUUGUAAACUGCUUUUGUACGGAACGAAAAGGUUUCUCUUAAUACGAGGAGCUCAUGACGGUACCGUAAGAAUAAGCACCGGCUAACUACGUG
Molecule: ribosomal RNA, 482 nt
Filed under: uncultured bacterium
Lineage: Bacteria
Description: bacterial SSU rRNA
Rfam family: Bacterial small subunit ribosomal RNA
Source: RNAcentral